Long non-coding RNA from Limanda limanda (common dab), 373 nucleotides. RefSeq lists it as uncharacterized. The transcript has 2 exons. The record is from RefSeq and is a predicted model, not a curated record. NCBI's taxonomy places the organism in Eukaryota, Metazoa, Chordata, Actinopteri, Pleuronectiformes, Pleuronectidae.
CAGUCUGUAUCACAUAUCACUUGUGACAACUUUCAACUAUCCCGCUCCCCAAAAAUGUCUAAACGAAAGGUGGCAUUUGGAAACAGGAGCUUUCAAGACAGGUAGGAGGCAGAGUAUAGGUUCCCGGAUGUAAAGGGUGGAUCCGAGAAAAGAUGAAGGAGGAAAAAAGUGAGGAAAAAAAACUCAGGUCUGAUGAACCACAAGAAGAAGAUGGAGGCCGACCUGUCUGUGCUGACAGGAGAGGUGGAGGAGGCCAUACAGGAGAGACGCAGCUCUGAUGAGAAAGCAAAGAAGGCCAUCACUGAUGUCAGUCCUGACUCGUAACCUCUGACCUUUUACUUCUGACCAAACUAAAACUAACACAAUCCUGUUU